This 858-nucleotide ribosomal RNA is filed under the name uncultured fungus. Its description in RNAcentral is "eukaryotic LSU rRNA". The stretch from base 337 to 490 matches the Rfam family "5.8S ribosomal RNA". Lineage: Eukaryota; Fungi. The record is from RNAcentral.
UUCUUGUUCAUUAGGAGGAAUUAAAAGUGGUAACAAGGUUUCGUUAGGGGACCCGGCGGAAGGAUCAUUAUGAAUUCUUCGGCUGGGUUGUUGGGGUUCCUCUUGGUCAUUUAGAGGAAGUAAAAGUCGUAACAAGGUUUCCGUAGGUGAACCUGCGGAAGGAUCAUUAUUGAUUGUGAAUCGUUGCCUUCAGUGCUGGCUCCGGCAAGUGCACGUUGGUGACUUUCAUCCAACACUCUUGUGAACCUUUGGCCUCUUGCUGGCCUCGGCUGGCAGAGGAUUUUUACACCCACUCGCAUGUAAUGAAAUUAUUGUCGUGCGCAAGCACUAAUGUACAACUUUCAACAACGGAUCUCUUGGCUCUCGCAUCGAUGAAGAACGCAGCGAAAUGCGAUAAGUAAUGUGAAUUGCAGAAUUCAGUGAAUCAUCGAAUCUUUGAACGCACCUUGCACCCUUUGGCAUUCCGAAGGGUAUGCUCGUUUGAGUGUCAUUGUACUCUCACACUUCUCAUCCUUUGGAUUUGGAGCGGUGGAUUUGGGUGUUGCUGCUUUCCGGUGGCUCACCUUGAAUGCAUUAGUGCAACUCUUGGUUGGACAUAGUACGGCGUGAUAAGUGUCUUCGCCGGCACCUCGCAAGAGGGUGGCUGAUCGAGAGCUCUGUGCUUUCAAACCGUCCUCGGACAAUGACUGACAACUUGACCUCAAAUCGAGUAGGACUACCCGCUGAACUUAAGCAUAUCAAUAAGCGGAGGAAUACUAAUCAAUAAACCAAUCCUUAAGGAAUACAUCUGGAUAUUGGGACCCCCAAUCCAAUGGGACUACCCCCUGAACUAAGCAUAUUAAUUAGCGGAAGAAAUUU